UACAGUACGGUAGGCUCUAUGGUGGCA
This 27-nucleotide small RNA is filed under the name Bombyx mori (domestic silkworm). RNAcentral describes it as "ovarian small RNA-20321". The record is from RNAcentral. Lineage: Eukaryota; Metazoa; Arthropoda; Insecta; Lepidoptera; Bombycidae.